AACGUAGGAGGCGAGCGUUAUCCGGAUUUACUGGGUGUAAAGCGCGUGCAGGCGGUUGGAUAAGUUGGGUGUGAAAGCUCCUGGCUCAACUGGGAGAGGUUGCUCAAGACUGUUCGACUAGAGCGUGGUAGGGGAAGGCGGAAUUCCGGGUGUAGUGGUGAAAUGCGUAGAUAUCCGGAGGAACACCAGUGGCGAAAGCGGCCUUCUAGACCAUGACUGACGCUCAGACGCGAAAGCUAGGGGAGCAAACGGG
This 253-nucleotide ribosomal RNA is filed under the name uncultured bacterium. RNAcentral describes it as "partial 16S ribosomal RNA". It matches the Rfam family "Bacterial small subunit ribosomal RNA", at positions 524 to 776 of the family's 1533-position model. The record is from RNAcentral.